Molecule: long non-coding RNA, 240 nt
Organism: Python bivittatus (Burmese python)
Lineage: Eukaryota; Metazoa; Chordata; Lepidosauria; Squamata; Pythonidae
Source: RefSeq, a predicted model, not a curated record
UUUGGCACAGACCUAGCGCUGGGUGCUGUGUGGCUUGGCUGUUUUGGGGUCUCCGCUGUUAUUCCACUGGGGGUCCCAACAGCUGAACAGAGAUUUGUUGUCAUCUUGCUUGAGCAUCUGAUCCAUUCCUUAAUGUUCAUCCGGUAUUAAAACCAUCAGCCUCUCAUCUAGUCUGAACAUUUUAUGUGAUAUUUCUUGGACUACAUACACAGGAUUGGAAGAACAUUUAAUCAGCAUACU